This 334-nucleotide unclassified non-coding RNA is filed under the name soil metagenome. RNAcentral describes it as "partial contains 5.8S ribosomal RNA, internal transcribed spacer 2, and large subunit ribosomal RNA". The stretch from base 1 to 120 matches the Rfam family "5.8S ribosomal RNA", at positions 35 to 154 of the family's 154-position model. The record is from RNAcentral.
GAUGAAGAACGCAGCGAAAUGCGAUAAGUAGUGUGAAUUGCAGAAUUCAGUGAAUCAUCGAAUCUUUGAACGCACAUUGCGCCCCUUGGUAUUCCAUGGGGCAUGCCUGUUCGAGCGUCAUUUGUACCCUCAAGCUUUGCUUGGUGUUGGGGAUCGGCCGUUAAACGCCGCCCCCGAAAUCUAUUGGCGAUCUCGCUGUAGCUUCCUAUGCGUAGUAGUAACAUCUCGCAUCUGGAGAGCGGCGCGGUCAUGCCGUAAAACACCCAACUUCUCAGGUUGACCUCAGAUCAGGUAGGAAUACCCGCUGAACUUAAGCAUAUCAAUAAGCGGAGGA